UACGUAGGGGGCAAGCGUUGUCCGGAUUUAUUGGGCGUAAAGAGCGUGUAGGCGGCUAGAUAGGUCCGUUGUGAAAACUCGAGGCUCAACCUCGAGACGUCGAUGGAAACCAUCUGGCUAGAGUCCGGAAGAGGAGAGUGGAAUUCCCGGUGUAGUGGUGAAAUGCGUAGAGAUCGGGAGGAACACCCGUGGCGAAGGCGGCCACCUGGGCCGACCCUGACGCUGAGGCGCGAAGGCGUGGGGAGCGAACGGG
Molecule: ribosomal RNA, 253 nt
Filed under: uncultured bacterium
Lineage: Bacteria
Description: partial 16S ribosomal RNA
Rfam family: Bacterial small subunit ribosomal RNA
Source: RNAcentral